UUCCAAAUAACACAAAAAUGUCUCAUUGCUUCAUUAAUUAAAAAUGUAUAAAUUCAAGCACGACGCGAUUGAGCUCAUCAUAUUCAUCCUAUAUAGAACAACCAAUGGUCACAUAAAAAAGAACUAGAUGAUUUUGUGUAACAUUAAGUCCUCAUUUGAGCCCCAUUCUUCUAAAAAUUCAUUUUUUCAAAACUCAUUUUCAAUUACACAUUUUUCAAUAAAAUAUUAUUACAUGCAAACCCAAAAUUUUUCCUUAAUUUUUAACCACACAUUCUCCAUCAAUCUAUUAUUCAAAAUACAUCAUUUUCCCCAAAAUGAGGUUCAAACAAGGGCUAAACUAGUUUGUGAUUGAAACUACCGAAUAAUACCCCUAGGCGAAGCAAGCAAAACUGUAGCGUAAUCUCAUUGGAUGUGCAUUACGUAAUCUUAAAAUUGCCUGAGGGGCUACUCAAAUUAAAGCUAAGUCAAAAUCUAGUACAACAGUAUGCUCGUUCAUAAGGUUCAUGAAUCCUAGGUGUUUCUUGUAAAUGAAUCUAAAAUUUUCUUCUCAUCAAAGGUGUCAAUAUCACUCUUCUUUCUUGCUCGAUUUUACAGCAUCAGCUUCUUCAGAGCUAGUAGUUUUAGACUCGUCGAACUCCAACAACUGCAUGGCACAAUAAAUUAUUCAAUAUCAGCUUUUUGUGAGCUCAAAAUGUAUAGAUUAUUACAUGUCGAAAAUUGUGGAAAUGCAUCAAUGUAUACCACACACGCACACAAUCCUUGUUUUCUGGGGGAAGAUUAACAUAUUCAGUUGAAAACAAGCACCAUGUUGACAAUUCAGUUUAACGGUAGCAAGUUUGGAAGAGAAGUUAUUCAUUGUCUAUGGUGGGAUUUGGUCUUAGUGAAACAGAGCGUAAAUCCAUACGAAAAUAACCGAGCAGGGGCACACCAGUGUAAAAAAUUGGCCAUGGAAGAUGGGGUUUAUCUGAAGUAAAGAAAUAUUGUCCAUAUAAAUUUGGAACUGCUANN
This 1008-nucleotide long non-coding RNA is filed under the name Olea europaea (common olive). RNAcentral's name for it is "long non-coding RNA (OEUR_LNC013122)". The record is from RNAcentral. Lineage: Eukaryota; Viridiplantae; Streptophyta; Magnoliopsida; Lamiales; Oleaceae.